RNAcentral lists this ribosomal RNA (252 nucleotides) under uncultured bacterium. RNAcentral's name for it is "partial 16S ribosomal RNA". It matches the Rfam family "Bacterial small subunit ribosomal RNA", at positions 524 to 776 of the family's 1533-position model. The record is from RNAcentral.
UACGUAGGCAGCAAGCGUUGUUCGGAGUUACUGGGCGUAAAGGGUGUGUAGGCGGUUCCUUAAGUUUGCUGUGAAAUCUCCCGGCUUAACCGGGAGGGUGCGGUGAAUACUGAGGGACUAGAGUACGGGAGAGGAAAGUGGAAUUCCUGGUGUAGCGGUGAAAUGCGUAGAUAUCAGGAGGAACACCGGUGGUGUAGACGGCUUCUGGACCGUAACUGACGCUGAGACACGAAAGCGUGGGUAGCAAACAGG